This 326-nucleotide long non-coding RNA is filed under the name Cicer arietinum (chickpea). RNAcentral describes it as "long non-coding RNA (CARI_LNC000230)". Lineage: Eukaryota; Viridiplantae; Streptophyta; Magnoliopsida; Fabales; Fabaceae. The record is from RNAcentral.
GGGGGGGGGGGGGGGGGGGGGGGGGGGGGGGGGGGCGAGAAGGUCACCUGUAUAAGCUCUUUACCUCUAUGUUAGUUACUUCUUCAUCCUAUCUUGCUCAAAAAGGUAUCUCUUUUUGUCUUCUGUUUUUUUAAGUUCUUAACCAAAUUCAAAAACUCCAUGGAUCAUCAAUUCUAGAGCCACUGACCAUAUGACAGUUUGUUGAAAAUUGUUUUCCACUUAUAGUUGUGCAGGUCAUAAAAAGGUAAAGAUAGAUGAUGGUACUUUUUCCACCAUAGCUGGAGUUGAUGCUAUCCCUAUUCCUAAAACUCUAACUCUUCACAAUG